This 169-nucleotide ribosomal RNA is filed under the name Cortinarius sp. RNAcentral's name for it is "partial large subunit ribosomal RNA". It matches the Rfam family "Eukaryotic large subunit ribosomal RNA", at positions 99 to 261 of the family's 3401-position model. Lineage: Eukaryota; Fungi; Basidiomycota; Agaricomycetes; Agaricales; Cortinariaceae. The record is from RNAcentral.
CGGGAAAAGCUCAAAUUUAAAAUCUGGCAGCCUUUGGCUGUCCGAGUUGUAAUCUCGAGAAGCGUCAUCCGUGCUGGACCAUGUACAAGUCUCCUGGAAUGGAGCAUCAUAGAGGGUGAGAAUCCCGUCUUUGACAUGGACUACCAGGGCUUUGUGAUGUGCUCUCAAA